UAUCUGGGUGUGAGAUAUUCAUUCUCAAUGCUAUCAUAUAUCCUUAUCCAUGUAAGGAAGUCUUGAUCUUCCAAGGAUUCAUUUUGUGCCGAAAAUCCUACACUACACGUUGCUUGAAUCAGCUUUCAACUAAAUAGUAGAUAAACCAAGGCUUUUGGUGAGUUGCAGGUCUUGAAGAAAUUCAGUGCUCUAGGUUUGUUUGACUGAAUAAUUUCAUCCGAGUACAAGUAUGAAUAAGUCAUUCUGCCUUAGAUAUUCUAAAUAUUUCUGCUUUACCUGAGUGGCCUGGGUUUCUGAGUGAAAGCAUGAAAGCUCAAAUGCAAACAGGAGGAAUGUUAACAAGUUUCCUUCCAUACCAUGGUGUUACAAGUACUUUUAAUACUGCUCUCUCCUCAUGGUUUCGUGAAUGUGAAUUCCACAUGGAUCUCUUCAUUUCUGUUCCAAUCCCAAGUGUCUACACUUGGAUUCCCUUUCACAAGGGUCACUGCACUGGUGUUUUGUUGUUGAACUUUGAGAAGUUCUGUAUAUUGUUGAAUGCGGAGAAUUUCAUUCUUAGCUGUUGAUUUGGUUAGAUCAGUCAAUUUUAGCUCUAAAUAUAGAUUGGAAGCUCAUCCCUUAAUACUCUCUAAUUAACUUUGUGAAGACGUCAUUGUCAUCUGGACCAAGAAAUGAGAUGGUUUAACACUUUCCUUGCAAACCUUUGUAGGAAUUUUUUUUUUUUUUUUUUUUUGCUUCCCUUGCAUUCCCCUACUCGAAUUUUCUUCUCACCAGUGUUUCGUAUUUCAAAACGUGUU
Long non-coding RNA from Telopea speciosissima, 794 nucleotides. RefSeq lists it as uncharacterized. Lineage: Eukaryota; Viridiplantae; Streptophyta; Magnoliopsida; Proteales; Proteaceae. The record is from RefSeq and is a predicted model, not a curated record. The transcript has 2 exons.